This 25-nucleotide ribosomal RNA is filed under the name Simulium metatarsale. RNAcentral describes it as "partial 5.8S ribosomal RNA". The record is from RNAcentral. Lineage: Eukaryota; Metazoa; Arthropoda; Insecta; Diptera; Simuliidae. RNAcentral also lists the same sequence under 1 other name.
UUGAGGUUCAUAUGGUUGAGUGCUA